This is a long non-coding RNA of Brassica napus (rape), 992 nucleotides long. RefSeq lists it as uncharacterized. Lineage: Eukaryota; Viridiplantae; Streptophyta; Magnoliopsida; Brassicales; Brassicaceae. The record is from RefSeq and is a predicted model, not a curated record. The transcript is spliced from 3 exons.
UUUCUCUGUUCUUUUUUGUACAUUUACUCAGAUUAUAAUUGAUAGACUGUGAUGUAUGCCUCUCUUUUGCUUCUUUGCAGAAUUGAUUUUAAGAUAAGAACUAUAUUUUGAGCUUAAUGGCAAAAGCGGCAUGCUCCAGAUUUGGGAUACGGCUGGUCAAGAACGUUGCUGAAUCAUCACCACUGCUUAUUACGGAGGGGCAAUGGGAAUUUUUGCAGCUGGAUGAUGUCACAGACGAACCAUCCGUCAACAGUAGUUUUGCUGCUGUCUAAACAUGACAUCUUUUUUCUUACAUUUUUGCUUUGUUUUUGAACCUGUUUUCUUGAUCUUAUUGCAAAGCUUAAGAACUGGAUUCGUAAUAUCAAACAGCCUGCUUCAGAUGAUGUUGAGAAGAUAUUGUUAGGGAACAAACCCCGCAGUAACGCAAGUGCAUUCAUACUGAUUUACAACUUCAUGAUUCACGACUAAUCAAAUUAAUAGCGUUUUUGACAACUUUUUUUGGCAGACUGCCAAAAUCAAUAGGUCAAGCACUUGCUGAUAAAUACAGUUUUGUUAAAAAGGAAGCCAAGCAUUGUCUCUUCAGAUCAACUUAGACUACUACAUUGUUCGUAUUCGUUUUGCAAGUUUCAGAACUUGCUACUUUUAUGGUUAAAACAGAUAAGGGCCAGAAUCUCUGGUUUUGAGCUUUGGGUGUACUGAGAAAUAUGUGACACAAGAGAAUGUGAUGGAGUUUCUUCUGUCUAGGUCAGAGGAAUUGAAACAAAGAGGAAUGGAUAUGUCAAUGCUAUCUGAAUUGAUAAAUGAAAUCUUAAAAAAUAAUAAGUAUCUGUUAUGACACAUUAUAAAUGAGAAAAUUUCAAAAAAUAUGACAAUAUUAUUUUAGUGCAUAGUUGCAUCCAGCACUAACAUAUGAUGAUGUUCAAAGAGGUUAGGAGCCUUUGUUGUCUCCGUUUUUCAAAAAAAUAGUGAUUUUAUAGUGGUUAUUCCAUCAA